RNAcentral lists this ribosomal RNA (402 nucleotides) under uncultured Clostridium sp. Its description in RNAcentral is "bacterial SSU rRNA". It matches the Rfam family "Bacterial small subunit ribosomal RNA", at positions 355 to 774 of the family's 1533-position model. RNAcentral also lists the same sequence under 1 other name. The record is from RNAcentral. Lineage: Bacteria; Bacillati; Bacillota; Clostridia; Eubacteriales; Clostridiaceae.
UGGGGAAUAUUGCACAAUGGGGGAAACCCUGAUGCAGCAACGCCGCGUGAGUGAUGAAGGCCUUCGGGUUGUAAAGCUCUGUCUUCAGGGACGAUAAUGACGGUACCUGAGGAGGAAGCCACGGCUAACUACGUGCCAGCAGCCGCGGUAAUACGUAGGUGGCAAGCGUUGUCCGGAUUUACUGGGCGUAAAGGGAGCGUAGGCGGAUACUUAAGUGGGAUGUGAAAUACCUGGGCUUAACUUGGGUGCUGCAUUCCAAACUGGGUGUCUAGAGUGUUGGAGAGGAAAGUGGAAUUCCUAGUGUAGCGGUGAAAUGCGUAGAGAUUAGGAAGAACACCAGUGGCGAAGGCGACUUUCUGGACAAUAACUGACGCUGAGGCUCGAAAGCGUGGGGAGCAAACA